UAAAAUAAUACACAACAUCAGAUUGCUCGACAGAUGACAUUAGGCAUCAAAAAAAAUAUCCAAAUAACUACGUGAUAUGGCAUUAUUUUUAAACAUGCUCUAUAUAUUUAAUAAAAAACACAUAACUCUAUCUACAAAGCAAUAUAUAAGUUAUUUCCACGCUACUUUUCCUUGUUAAAUCUCAAUUUUUCAUCUCAGUGUUGUGCAGCGAAAUUGAAAAAUAAAAGAAUAUAUUAUAAUUUUACUCUAAAUUAGGCGCAGGUGUUUUAACUGUAUCUGGAAAAGUCACGUCAAAACAACUAUACUAGCUGGGCAAUUACAAAGUCAACGGUCACAAAAAUGAAAAACAAACUUAAAUAAUUUCAUUUUUUACUUCUGCAACCAACAAUACAUCGAAGCGCAUAGAGAGUUGCAUAUAUUUAACAACAAAAAAAGGACCUAACCUAUAUUAAAUUAAAUAAAUGCCAUAUAAAAACAAAAAAUAAACAAAUUGUGUAUUAUUUUAACCAGGUCCAAAAGAAAUUUUGAAUACGACACCAAACACUGAGUUUAAUAAGAGCGACACACUACGCAAAUUCAUCGAAUUGAAUUUUGUUCAUCAUGAAUAACAAUAAGGAAUGCUAUUAUUAAUACAUAGUACGUAAAGACCGCCUAAAAGGAGAGGCCUAGGUCACCCCUUGUAUAAGAUGUUUGGCCAUUAUUCUGGUUUACAAGAUUGGUUUCCCAUUAUCCUAUUAAAGAUUUGAAUUUGAAGAAUUGUUAGAUGAAUAUAGGGAUCCAAGGCAGUAAAAUUUAUCCUUUGGAUGAAUAUAAGCAACAAUGCAUCUGGACAUAUUAAGUAUUUUUUUAUAUCUAAAAUUUUAUUUCUUUUUGGGUAUAUAUAUUUUUACUAGUUUUUAAUGUUCAUCAGUGUCUUUUAUUUAUUCUAAAUCUCUGUUUUUUUAAACUUAUAGCUAUUGAAAAAAAAAUUGUGUUUGAUUUUUGUGCAUUGUAUUUUUAGAACUAAUGUUAUCUACUUUCUUUUAGUGAUAACGUGAUAACGCAGCUACCUAUGGUUAAGUGUUAGAAGUUUAUAUUUCAAUUUACAUAGUCACAGUUUAAGAAAUAGAAUUAUAUAUUUAUUAUAACAUAUUAUAAUAAACGUAAGAAGAAAUGAGACUUGACUUAUUAACCAUAUAUAACAAAAAGUGUUAACAGCUUCUACAAUAUUAUGUAAAUUGGGUAUUUCAUGCUAUUGUGCAUGUAUACAGUGAAGAAAUAAGAAGAAAAUCUUUCAUUUACAUCUUAACAAAGCGUCCUGUCUUUUCAAAUUUUUCCUUUGGCGCGCUUAAUUGAUUACAGCGCCAUACUUGUUUAGUGAAAAUAUUUGGAACUAUUUUCUAAUCGAUUCUGACGCCACCGUACGGAAAGUUUUAAAAAUCUAAUAAUACAGCGAGGAGAGCUUGCUAUGAGCAAGAAAGGAAAAUACAUCAAGUAAAAUGGAGAGAAAUAAGAUUUUCUUUUGAGAAAAUAUCUUCAGGUCAAAGAAUAAUUUCAUAAGAACACCUCACUGAUUGUACCCUGCUCUUCAAUGAAAAUGUGUGCCAAAAAAAGAGUAAACCUGAAGCAACAAUAUUGGAAUCAACAAAACAGCGAGAUGGUUUCAGCUUUCAAAUCAUUCCUGCAAAUACCUCUUUCAAAAAUUAUAUUCUCGAACAUUGAAAUCCAUUCUAUGAUGUACCUCCCAAACCUGCUUUUUUCUUUGAUAUAAAGAUGAUUUGAAAUUACUAUUUUCUAAAUGCAGUAUUGUUAUGAAGAUAUGAUUGCAGUAUAUAAUAUAAGAAAUAUCUGCAAGUACUGGAAAUAUGGACAUACGGUAUACAUCAGAAAGAAAACGGUAUAGACGAAUCUAUAAUCGAAGGACUUUCAUUCUAGUUGGCUGUUUAUAUGUCUAAAAAUAAAUCUAUAAUUAUUAUAUUAAUGUUAAUUGUAUUUAUAAACUAU
Molecule: long non-coding RNA, 1983 nt
Organism: Sitophilus oryzae (rice weevil)
Lineage: Eukaryota; Metazoa; Arthropoda; Insecta; Coleoptera; Curculionidae
Exons: 6
Source: RefSeq, a predicted model, not a curated record